GGGGCUGAGUAGUCUCGACGGGGAGAUCCGUGGCCGACGUAAGCAGGCGGAGUUGUGAGCCCUCCUAAAACGAUCACAAGCGUUUACACGCGAACAACGAAUACGCUCUGGCUGCCUAACUUAAGUUAGCAACCACCGUCCGGAGGAGGUCGCCGAAGCCGUCCUCCAGGCGGUCAACAAGUUCGGCUAGGACGCGGAGACCGUUCCGAGAGGCGUCCGAAACUCAACCGGAACUGCGACGCGGCUGAUUCCUGUACCGAGAAGCUGACGCGCCUAAGACAAAAUCGGCACUGAGCCUGGAGAAAGCGGCGGUCCGGCUUUUCGGACCCGGGGGGCGGCUCCCCGGCAGCUCCACCA
Molecule: transfer-messenger RNA, 357 nt
Filed under: Vulcanimicrobiaceae
Lineage: Bacteria; Bacillati; Vulcanimicrobiota; Vulcanimicrobiia; Vulcanimicrobiales
Description: Elarobacter sp019233415 Standard tmRNA
Rfam family: transfer-messenger RNA
About the family: Bacterial tmRNA, also known as 10Sa RNA or SsrA, is named for its dual tRNA and mRNA-like properties. Its role is to liberate the mRNA from a stalled ribosome. To accomplish this part of the tmRNA is used as a reading frame that ends in a translation stop signal.
Source: RNAcentral